This 497-nucleotide ribosomal RNA is filed under the name uncultured bacterium. RNAcentral's name for it is "partial 16S ribosomal RNA". It matches the Rfam family "Bacterial small subunit ribosomal RNA", at positions 28 to 507 of the family's 1533-position model. The record is from RNAcentral.
GAUGAACGCUGGCGGCGUGCCUAAUACAUGCAAGUCGAGCGAACGGACGAGAAGCUUGCUUCUCUGAUGUUAGCGGCGGACGGGUGAGUAACACGUGGAUAACCUACCUAUAAGACUGGGAUAACUUCGGGAAACCGUAGCUAAUACCGGAUAAUAUUUUGAACCGCAGGGUUCAAAAGUGAAAGACGGUCUUGCUGUCACUUAUAGAGGGAUCCGCGCUGCAUUAGCUAGUUGGUAAGGUAACGGCUUACCAAGGCAACGAUGCAUAGCCGACCUGAGAGGAUGAUCGGCCACACUGGAACUGAGACACGGUCCAGACUCCUACGGGAGGCAGCAGUAGGGAAUCUUGCGCAAUGGGCGAAAGCCUGACCGAGCAACGCCGCGUGAGUGAUGAAGGUCUUCGGAUCGUAAAACUCUGUUAUUAGGGAAGAACAUAUGUGUAAGUAACUGUGCAUAUCUUGACGGUACCUAAUCAGAAAGCCACGGCUAACUACGUG